GAAAAAAAAUAGUAACAACGUUCAAAUUUGAAAUCAAAAUAGGCUAAUGGUGUAAUUAGCCUCGGAUCAUAGCUCCCUGAGCACACUUAAAGCCUGUUGUACUUUCCGCUUGCGCGCUGUCCAGUGCCAUUCCAGCGCUGGAGUCGACUCCGACUCUAGGGCUAUUCAGAGUCGAGGAAUCGACUCUUUUGCAGUCAACUCCCCAUCCCUAAUAAUUGAUAGUUAAUAGGCUAGUGUAGUUCAUCUCGAACAAGAAAUAGCGAGCCUGCAGCAUAGGCCUAAAAUCAGACAUGGACAAGAAGAGAUUGGUUUUGGAAUUUUAGAACUGAAUAUGACAAAUUCAUUAAGUAAAAUAUAUUGGGAGAAGCAUCUCGGAUGUCAUUAAAAUACAAUAAAGACAAAUGAAAGUUCUUGGAUAGUGGAGCCUCGUCGCGACUCGGCACUGAUGCGAUGAACGCUCGCUUGAUAACCUGCGAGCCCUAAAACGGGUUUUGAACGUGAUUCGAGCUGCUUGUUCGAAUUUGGAAUUCACUAUUCUUGGUAUUUCUUUCUAUGGCAGGGAAAGUUGUAUGCUAUUUUGAAUUCAGCACUUGUUUGAAUUCUGAAGUAAAUCAUGAAUGCUUAUCUCGAAUUAAGUCACUCAGAAUUACAACUGCUUGUGUAAUUUCUGGAAUGAGUCAUGAACUGCUUGUGUGAAUUUUGUGACAUAUUUCACAAAGGCAGUUUAAGUGGCUAUAGCCAGGCAAGAUGGAAGUGGGUUCAAAAAAGGGGGAUUACUGAACCGAAGUCCAAGGUUUCUGCAAUACUCUUGGGAAGAACCACGUCUCAGCACAAGAUUACAUUUCAGUCCAGGCUCACGUCAAACCAUGCCAGGCGGGACAGGAAAUUGUGUCCCUGUCACUGGGACGCUGGAGAAAAAUCAGGCAUCCUGUUCGGUUAGCUGAAAGAAUCUACUGUUGCCCGAUGUGGUUUGGAAAGGCAUAGCGAAAUAAAAAAAAAAAAAAGCGCAGAGAGAGAAACUGAGAGAGAGAGAUGGAGCUGUGACUGAAAGGCUGAGAGUAUGAAGGCAUGUGUUUAAAUCCCCCGGAGAGUAAAUACACAGAACAAUUACCAUGUAAAAACAACGAAAACGGGAGCUGCCUGUAAAAGCAGGCCUUGCGGAGGAAAUGUCACUUUCUUAAAGCACACCUCUCUGUCAGAUGCAUUUAAAUGCACAGGUGAAGCUAAAAUAAACAGCUGUCCUGAAAAGAGAAAACUCCCCUAUCAUGGAAUUUCCUCCAAGUGCCCUGAAGCUUGCUCUAGAAGCUUUAAAUGUCUCCUUACACCUUUGAGAAAUUCGGUG
Long non-coding RNA from Cyprinus carpio carpio, 1342 nucleotides. Lineage: Eukaryota; Metazoa; Chordata; Actinopteri; Cypriniformes; Cyprinidae. The record is from Ensembl.